This 411-nucleotide ribosomal RNA is filed under the name Rhodobacter sp. oral taxon F75. RNAcentral describes it as "bacterial SSU rRNA". It matches the Rfam family "Bacterial small subunit ribosomal RNA", at positions 30 to 488 of the family's 1533-position model. Lineage: Bacteria; Pseudomonadati; Pseudomonadota; Alphaproteobacteria; Rhodobacterales. The record is from RNAcentral.
CGAACGCUGGCGGCAGGCUUAACACAUGCAAGUCGAGCGAGGACUUCGGUUCUAGCGGCGGACGGGUGAGUAACGCGUGGGAACGUGCCCUUUGCUACGGAAUAGCCCCGGGAAACUGGGAGUAAUACCGUAUGUGCCCUUUGGGGGAAAGAUUUAUCGGCAAAGGAUCGGCCCGCGUUGGAUUAGGUAGUUGGUGGGGUAAUGGCCCACCAAGCCGGCGAUCCAUAGCUGGUUUGAGAGGAUGAUCAGCCACACUGGGACUGAGACACGGCCCAGACUCCUACGGGAGGCAGCAGUGGGGAAUCUUAGACAAUGGGGGCAACCCUGAUCUAGCCACGCCGCGUGAGUGAUGAAGGCCUUAGGGUUGUAAAGCUCUUUCAGCUGGGAAGAUAAGGACGUACCAGCAGAAGA